Spea bombifrons (plains spadefoot toad) is the source of this 123-nucleotide small nucleolar RNA. The record is from RefSeq and is a predicted model, not a curated record. NCBI's taxonomy places the organism in Eukaryota, Metazoa, Chordata, Amphibia, Anura, Pelobatidae.
UUGCACAUUUCAUUGACUUUCUCUCACUGUAAAGAGCAAAGUUACUUCUAAUGUGCUACAUAAACCGGAGGCUAAUUAGCAGCGUAACAGCUCGUUACCGCUGCCAGUCUCCUCCGUACAUCU